GCUUAUUUAGUUUAAAAAGAAUUUAUAACUUGUAAUUAUAGGGUUAAGUA
This 50-nucleotide transfer RNA is filed under the name Nippostrongylus brasiliensis. RNAcentral's name for it is "tRNA-Thr". The record is from RNAcentral. Lineage: Eukaryota; Metazoa; Nematoda; Chromadorea; Rhabditida; Heligmosomidae.